GUGGGGAAUAUUGGACAAUGGGCGCAAGCCUGAUCCAGCAAUGCCGCGUGAGUGAUGAAGGCCUUAGGGUUGUAAAGCUCUUUCACCGGGGAAGAUAAUGACGGUACCCGGAGAAGAAGCCCCGGCUAACUCCGUGCCAGCAGCCGCGGUAAUACGGAGGGGGCUAGCGUUGUUCGGAAUUACUGGGCGUAAAGCGCGCGUAGGCGGCUUGACAAGUUGGAGGUGAAAGUCCGGGGCUCAACUUCGGAAUUGCCUUCAAGACUGUCUCGCUCGAGGCAGGGAGAGGAGAGCGGAAUACCCAGUGUAGAGGUGAAAUUCGUAGAUAUUGGGUGGAACACCGGUGGCGAAGGCGGCUCUCUGGCCCUGAUCUGACGCUAAGGCGCGAAAGCGUGGGGAGCAAACAGGAUUAGAAACCCGAGUAGUCC
RNAcentral lists this ribosomal RNA (425 nucleotides) under uncultured bacterium. Its description in RNAcentral is "partial 16S ribosomal RNA". It matches the Rfam family "Bacterial small subunit ribosomal RNA", at positions 354 to 796 of the family's 1533-position model. The record is from RNAcentral.